GACGUAGGGCGCGAGCGUUGUCCGGAAUUAUUGGGCGUAAAGAGCUUGUAGGCGGUUUGUCGCGUCUGCUGUGAAAACCCGGGGCUCAACCCCGGGCGUGCAUUCGAUACUGCGCGGCUCGAGACAGGUAGGGGAGAUCGGAAUUCCUGGUGUAGCGGUGAAAUGCGCAGAUAUCAGGAGGAACACCGGUGGCGAAGGCGGAUCUCUGGGCCUGUUCUGACGCUGAGGCGCGAAAGCUAGGGGAGCGAACAGG
Molecule: ribosomal RNA, 253 nt
Filed under: uncultured bacterium
Lineage: Bacteria
Description: partial 16S ribosomal RNA
Rfam family: Bacterial small subunit ribosomal RNA
Source: RNAcentral